AGUCCCGUAGCUCAGGGGAUAGAGCGUCACACUGCGGAUGUGAAGGUCGGAGGUUCGAAUCCUCUCGGGACUGC
This 74-nucleotide transfer RNA is filed under the name Streptomyces phage Gilson. Its description in RNAcentral is "tRNA-Arg". It matches the Rfam family "tRNA". Rfam says of the family: Transfer RNA (tRNA) molecules are approximately 80 nucleotides in length. Their secondary structure includes four short double-helical elements and three loops (D, anti-codon, and T loops). RNAcentral also lists the same sequence under 7 other names. Lineage: Duplodnaviria; Heunggongvirae; Uroviricota; Caudoviricetes; Stanwilliamsviridae. The record is from RNAcentral.